AAUAGAUACCCAGGUAGUCCUAGCCGUAAACGAUACUCGCUAGGUGUCGGCCACGGUGCGACCGUUGUCGGUGCCGUAGGGAAGCCGUGAAGCGAGCCACCUGGGAAGUACGGCCGCAAGGCUGAAACUUAAAGGAAUUGGCGGGGGGAGCACCACAACGGGUGGAGCUUGCGGUUUAAUUGGAUUCAACGCCGGAAAUCUUACCGGGACCGACAGCAAUAUGAAGGCCAGGCUGAAGACUUUGCCGGAUUAGCUGAGAGGUGGUGCAUGGCCGUCGUCAGUUCGUACUGUGAAGCAUCCUGUUAAGUCAGGCAACGAGCGAGACCCACGCCCACAGUUGCCAGCGUACUCUCCGGAGUAACGGGUACACUGUGGGGACCGCCGCUGCUAAAGCGGAGGAAGGAAUGGGCAACGGUAGGUCAGUAUGCCCCGAAUAUCCCGGGCUACACGCGAGCUACAAUGGUUGGUACAAUGGGUAUCUACCCCGGAAAGGGGAUGGAAAUCUCCUAAAGCCAAUCUUAGUUCGGAUUGAGGGCUGCAACUCGCCCUCA
This 551-nucleotide ribosomal RNA is filed under the name uncultured bacterium. RNAcentral's name for it is "bacterial SSU rRNA". It matches the Rfam family "Archaeal small subunit ribosomal RNA", at positions 728 to 1276 of the family's 1478-position model. The record is from RNAcentral.